AAUGAACGUUAGCGGCGCGCCUGAUGCAUGCAAGUCGAACGCUCAAGUCAUCCGCAAGGAAGACAAGAGAGUGGCAAACGGCUGAGUAACACGUAAGUAACCUACCUCUAAGUGGGGAAUAACUUGCCGAAAGGCAGGCUAAUUCCGCAUAUGCUGAUAAGCGAAUGUUUUUCAGUAAAGCUUUCGGGUGCUUGGAGAAGGGCUUGCGUCUGAUUAGCUAGUUGGUAGGGUAAUGGCCUACCAAGGCGAUGAUCAGUAGCUGGUCUGAGAGGACGACCAGCCAGACAGGGACUGAGACACGGCCCUGACUCCUACGGGAGGCAG
Molecule: ribosomal RNA, 324 nt
Filed under: uncultured Chloroflexota bacterium
Lineage: Bacteria; Bacillati; Chloroflexota
Description: bacterial SSU rRNA
Rfam family: Bacterial small subunit ribosomal RNA
Source: RNAcentral